Molecule: ribosomal RNA, 1525 nt
Filed under: Tenacibaculum finnmarkense
Lineage: Bacteria; Pseudomonadati; Bacteroidota; Flavobacteriia; Flavobacteriales; Flavobacteriaceae
Description: bacterial SSU rRNA
Rfam family: Bacterial small subunit ribosomal RNA
Source: RNAcentral
ACAAUGAAGAGUUUGAUCCUGGCUCAGGAUGAACGCUAGCGGCAGGCUUAACACAUGCAAGUCGAGGGGUAACAUUGUGCUUGCACAGAUGACGACCGGCGAACGGGUGCGUAACGCGUAUAGAAUCUGCCUUGUACAGGAGGAUAGCCUUUAGAAAUGAAGAUUAACACUCCAUAAUGUUAAUUUGAGUGGCAUCACUUAUUAAUUAAACAUUUAUGGGUACAAGAUGACUAUGCGUCCUAUUAGCUAGAUGGUGAGGUAACGGCUUACCAUGGCGACGAUAGGUAGGGGGUCUGAGAGGAUUAUCCCCCACACUCGGUACUGAGACACGGACCGAGACUCCUACGGGAGGCAGCAGUGAGGAAUAUUGGUCAAUGGAGGCAACUCUGAACCGACCAUGCCGCGUGCAGGAUGACUGCCCUAUGGGUUGUAAACUGCUUUUAUACAGGAAGAAACCGAUGCUACGUGUAGCAUCCUUGACGGUACUGUAAGAAUAAGGACCGGCUAACUCCGUGCCGACAGCCGCGGUAAUACGGAGGGUCCGAGCGUUAUCCGGAAUCAUUGGGUUUAAAGGGUCCGCAGGCGGUCAAUUAAGUCAGAGGUGAAAGCCCAUCGCUCAACGAUGGAACUGCCUUUGAUACUUGGUUGACUUGAGUUAUACGGAAGUAGAUAGAAUAAGUAGUGUAGCGGUGAAAUGCAUAGAUAUUACUUAGAAUACCGAUUGCGAAGGCAGUCUACUACGUAUAUACUGACGCUGAGGGACGAAAGCGUGGGGAGCGAACAGGAUUAGAUACCCUGGUAGUCCACGCCGUAAACGAUGGAUACUAGUUGUUGGACUUCGGUUCAGUGACUAAGCGAAAGUGAUAAGUAUCCCACCUGGGGAGUACGGUCGCAAGACUGAAACUCAAAGGAAUUGACGGGGGCCCGCACAAGCGGUGGAGCAUGUGGUUUAAUUCGAUGAUACGCGAGGAACCUUACCAGGGCUUAAAUGUAGAUUGACAGGGCUGAGAGAUAGCUUUUUCUUCGGACAAUUUACAAGGUGCUGCAUGGUUGUCGUCAGCUCGUGCCGUGAGGUGUCAGGUUAAGUCCUAUAACGAGCGCAACCCCUAUUUUUAGUUGCUAACAGGUUAAGCUGAGGACUCUAGAGAGACUGCCGGUGCAAACCGUGAGGAAGGUGGGGAUGACGUCAAAUCAUCACGGCCCUUACGUCCUGGGCUACACACGUGCUACAAUGGUAUGGACAAUGAGCAGCCACCGGGCGACCAGGAGCGAAUCUAUAAACCAUAUCACAGUUCGGAUCGGAGUCUGCAACUCGACUCCGUGAAGUCGGAAUCGCUAGUAAUCGGAUAUCAGCCAUGAUCCGGUGAAUACGUUCCCGGGCCUUGUACACACCGCCCGUCAAGCCAUGGAAGUCGGGGUGCCUGAAGUUCGUUACCGCAAGGAGCGACCUAGGGUAAAACUGGUAACUAGGGCUAAGUCGUAACAAGGUAGCCGUACCGGAAGGUGCGGUCGGAACACCUCCUUU